RNAcentral lists this ribosomal RNA (253 nucleotides) under uncultured bacterium. RNAcentral's name for it is "partial 16S ribosomal RNA". It matches the Rfam family "Bacterial small subunit ribosomal RNA", at positions 524 to 776 of the family's 1533-position model. The record is from RNAcentral.
UACAGAGGUCCCAAGCGUUGUUCGGAUUCACUGGGCGUAAAGGGUGCGUAGGUGGCUUUGCAAGUCUGAUGUGAAAUCUCCGGGCCCAACCCGGAAAUGGCAUCGGAAACUGUGAGGCUUGAGGCUUGGAGGGGGAACCGGAAUUCUCGGUGUAGCAGUGAAAUGCGUAGAGAUCGAGAGGAACACCAGUGGCGAAGGCGAGUUCCUGGACAAGUCCUGACACUGAGGCACGAAAGCUAGGGGAGCAAACAGG